GAUGAACGCUGGCGGCGUGCCUAAUACAUGCAAGUCGAGCGAACAGACGAGGAGCUUGCUCCUCUGACGUUAGCGGCGGACGGGUGAGUAACACGUGGAUAACCUACCUAUAAGACUGGGAUAACUUCGAGAAACCGGAGCUAAUACCGGAUAAUAUAUUGAACCGCAUGGUUCAAUAGUGAAAGACGGUUUUGCUGUCACUUAUAGAUGGAUCCGCGCCGCAUUAGCUAGUUGGUAAGGUAACGGCUUACCAAGGCAACGAUGCGUAGCCGACCUGAGAGGGUGAUCGGCCACACCGGAACUGAGACACGGUCCAGACUCCUACGGGAGGCAGCAGUAGGGAAUCUUCCGCAAUGGGCGAAAGCCUGACGGAGCAACGCCGCGUGAGUGAUGAAGGUCUUCGGAUCGUAAAACUCUGUUAUUAGGGAAGAACAAAUGUGUAAGUAACUAUGCACGUCUUGACGGUACCUAAUCAGAAAGCCACGGCUAACUACGUG
Molecule: ribosomal RNA, 497 nt
Filed under: uncultured bacterium
Lineage: Bacteria
Description: partial 16S ribosomal RNA
Rfam family: Bacterial small subunit ribosomal RNA
Source: RNAcentral